AGGAGUCACCUGUGCCACAGAUGGU
RNAcentral lists this non-coding RNA (25 nucleotides) under Cricetulus griseus (Chinese hamster). Lineage: Eukaryota; Metazoa; Chordata; Mammalia; Rodentia; Cricetidae. The record is from RNAcentral.